AGCUUUGCGCAGUAGCAGUAUCGUAGCCAAUGAGGUUUAUCCGAGGCGCGAUUAUUGCUAAUUGAAAUAAACUAUCCUUUCCCCACUGAGCAUUCUUGGCUCCUUUGUGAAAUAUUAUGUGUGGGUUUAUUUCU
Small nuclear RNA from Zalophus californianus (California sea lion), 134 nucleotides. Its record names the gene U4. It matches the Rfam family "U4 spliceosomal RNA". Rfam says of the family: U4 small nuclear RNA (U4 snRNA) is a component of the major U2-dependent spliceosome. The structure of U4 snRNA from yeast and human has been reported. The record is from Ensembl. Lineage: Eukaryota; Metazoa; Chordata; Mammalia; Carnivora; Otariidae.